Molecule: ribosomal RNA, 599 nt
Filed under: uncultured bacterium
Lineage: Bacteria
Description: bacterial SSU rRNA
Rfam family: Bacterial small subunit ribosomal RNA
Source: RNAcentral
CGGCGUGCUUAACACAUGCAAGUCGAGUGCGCGCCUGUAGCAAUACAGGUGGCGCACGGCGCACGGGUGCGUAACACGUGGGCAAUCUGCCCUUCGAUGGGGAAUAACUCCGGGAAACCGAAGCUAAUUCCGCAUAACAUUCCUUGGACUCCGGUUCGAGGAUUCAAAGCCGCAAGGCGUCGAAGGAGGAGCCCGCGCCCGAUUAGCUAGUUGGCGAGGUAACGGCUCACCAAGGCAAUGAUCGGUAGCUGGUCUGAGAGGAUGGCCAGCCACACUGGAACUGAGACACGGUCCAGACUCCUACGGGAGGCAGCAGUGGGGAAUCUUGCACAAUGGGCGAAAGCCUGAUGCAGCGACGCCGCGUGGGGGAUGAAGCAUUUCGGUGUGUAAACCCCUUUCGACCGGGAAGAAUGCCCGCAAGGGAGUGACGGUACCGGUAUAAGAAGCCCCGGCUAACUACGUGCCAGCAGCCGCGGUAAGACGUAGGGGGCCAGCGUUGUUCGGAAUUACUGGGUGUAAAGGGUUCGUAGCGGUGUGGCAAGUCGGGAGUGAAAUCUAUGGGCUUAACCCAUAGCUGCUUCCGAAACUGCUGUGCUUGA